This 406-nucleotide ribosomal RNA is filed under the name uncultured bacterium. RNAcentral describes it as "partial 16S ribosomal RNA". It matches the Rfam family "Bacterial small subunit ribosomal RNA", at positions 30 to 526 of the family's 1533-position model. The record is from RNAcentral.
AUUGAACGCUGGCGGCAGGCCUAAACCAUGCAAGUCGAGCGAUGGGAGGACGGUUGCGUAAGGUCUGGUAAACUGCCUGAAGGAGGGGGAUCAAUAAUGGAAAAGGUAGCUAAUACCGCAUAAAAUCAGAUGUGCGACGACGGGAUUAGCUAGUAGGUGGGGUAAUGGCCAACAUAGUCUACGAUCCCUAGAUGCUCUGAGAGGAUGACCAGCCACACUGGAACUGAGACACGGUCCAGACUCCUACGGGAGGCAGCAGUUGGGAAUAUUGCACAAUGGACGCAAGCCUGAUCCAUCCAUCCCGCGUGUGCGAUGAAGGCCUUCGGGUUGUAAAGCACUUUAAGUUGUGAGGCGUUACCAACAGAAUAAGCACCGGCUAACUUCGUGCCAGCAGCCGCGGUAAUUC